RNAcentral lists this ribosomal RNA (479 nucleotides) under uncultured bacterium. Its description in RNAcentral is "bacterial SSU rRNA". It matches the Rfam family "Bacterial small subunit ribosomal RNA", at positions 28 to 507 of the family's 1533-position model. The record is from RNAcentral.
GAUGAACGCUGGCGGCGUGCUUAACACAUGCAAGUCGAACGGGAAACCUUUUAUUGAAGCUUCGGCAGAUUUAGCUGGUUUCUAGUGGCGGACGGGUGAGUAACGCGUGGGUAACCUGCCUUAUACAGGGGGAUAACAACCAGAAAUGGUUGCUAAUACCGCAUAAGCGCACAGGACCGCAUGGCCCGGUGUGAAAAACUCCGGUGGUAUAAGAUGGACCCGCGUUGGAUUAGCUAGUUGGCAGGGUAACGGCCUACCAAGGCGACGAUCCAUAGCCGGCCUGAGAGGGUGAACGGCCACAUUGGGACUGAGACACGGCCCAGACUCCUACGGGAGGCAGCAGUGGGGAAUAUUGCACAAUGGGGGAAACCCUGAUGCAGCGACGCCGCGUGAAGGAAGAAGUAUCUCGGUAUGGUAAACUUCUAUCAGCAGGGAAGAUAGUGACGGUACCUGACUAAGAAGCCCCGGNUAACUACGUG